This 497-nucleotide ribosomal RNA is filed under the name uncultured bacterium. RNAcentral describes it as "partial 16S ribosomal RNA". It matches the Rfam family "Bacterial small subunit ribosomal RNA", at positions 28 to 507 of the family's 1533-position model. The record is from RNAcentral.
GAUGAACGCUGGCGGCGUGCCUAAUACAUGCCAGUCGAGCGAACGGACGAGAAGCUUGCUUCUCUGAUGUUAGCGGCGGACGGGUGAGUAACACGUGGAUAACCUACCUAUAAGACUGGGAUAACUUCGGGAAACCGGAGCUAAUACCGGAUAAUAUUUUGAACCGCAUGGUUCAAAAGUGAAAGACGGUCUUGCUGUCGCUUAUAGAUGGAUCCGCGCUGCAUUAGCUAGUUGGUAAGGUAACGGCUUACCAAGGCAACGAUGCAUAGCCGACCUGAGAGGGUGAUCGGCCACACUGGAACUGAGACACGGUCCAGACUCCUACGGGAGGCAGCAGUAGGGAAUCUUCCGCAAUGGGCGAAAGCCUGACGGAGCAACGCCGCGUGAGUGAUGAAGGUCUUCGGAUCGUAAAACUCUGUUAUUAGGGAAGAACAUAUGUGUAAGUAACUGUGCACAUCUUGACGGUACCUAAUCAGAAAGCCACGGCUAACUACGUG